UCGUUCCACAAACACACCUAUGUACAUACC
RNAcentral lists this non-coding RNA (30 nucleotides) under Mus musculus (house mouse). The record is from RNAcentral. Lineage: Eukaryota; Metazoa; Chordata; Mammalia; Rodentia; Muridae.